AUACCCCAGUUCAGGCG
Molecule: ribosomal RNA, 17 nt
Filed under: Carex echinochloe subsp. nyasensis
Lineage: Eukaryota; Viridiplantae; Streptophyta; Magnoliopsida; Poales; Cyperaceae
Description: partial 26S ribosomal RNA
Source: RNAcentral